RNAcentral lists this ribosomal RNA (896 nucleotides) under Russula coronaspora. Its description in RNAcentral is "partial large subunit ribosomal RNA". It matches the Rfam family "Eukaryotic large subunit ribosomal RNA", at positions 69 to 943 of the family's 3401-position model. The record is from RNAcentral. Lineage: Eukaryota; Fungi; Basidiomycota; Agaricomycetes; Russulales; Russulaceae.
CAAGGAUUCCCCUAGUAACUGCGAGUGAAGCGGGAAAAGCUCAAAUUUAAAAUCUGGUGGUCUUUGGCCGCCCGAGUUGUAAUUUAGAGAAGCGUCUUCCGCGCUGGACCGUGCACAAGUCUCCUGGAACGGAGCGUCAUAGAGGGUGAGAAUCCCGUCUUUGGCACGGACACACCAGGGCUUUUGUGAUGCGCUCUCGAAGAGUCGAGUUGUUUGGGAAUGCAGCUCAAAAUGGGUGGUGAACUCCAUCUAAAGCUAAAUAUUGGCGAGAGACCGAUAGCGAACAAGUACCGUGAGGGAAAGAUGAAAAGCACUUUGGAAAGAGAGUGAAACAGUACGUGAAAUUGUUGAAAGGGAAACGCUUGAAGUCAGUCGCGUCGUCCGAGACUCAGCCUUGCCUUGGCUUGGUGUAUUUCUUGGCCGACGGGCCAGCAUCAAUUUUGACCCUUGGAUAAUGGCGAGGGAAAUGUGGCUCCUUUACGGAGUGUUAUAGUCUCUCGUCGCAUGCAAGGGUUGGGAUUGAGGAACUCAGCACGCGCCUUCGGGUGUCGGGGUUUUGCCCACGAUACGUGCUUAGGAUGUUGGCGUAAUGGCUUUAAACGACCCGUCUUGAAACACGGACCAAGGAGUCCAACAUGCCUGCGAGUGUUCGGGUGGAAAACCCGUGCGCGCAAUGAAAGUGAAAGUUGGGACCUCUGUCGUGGAGGGCACCGACGCCCGGACCAGACCUUCUGUGACGGAUCUGCGGUAGAGCAUGUAUGUUGGGACCCGAAAGAUGGUGAACUAUGCCUGAAUAGGGUGAAGCCAGAGGAAACUCUGGUGGAGGCUCGUAGCGAUUCUGACGUGCAAAUCGAUCGUCAAAUUUGGGUAUAGGGGCGAAAGACUAAUCGAACCAU